RNAcentral lists this ribosomal RNA (253 nucleotides) under uncultured bacterium. RNAcentral describes it as "partial 16S ribosomal RNA". It matches the Rfam family "Bacterial small subunit ribosomal RNA", at positions 524 to 776 of the family's 1533-position model. The record is from RNAcentral.
UACAGAGGGUGCGAGCGUUGCUCGGAAUCACUGGGCGUAAAGGGUGCGUAGGCGGGUCUUUAAGUCAGAGGUGAAAUCCUGGAGCUCAACUCCAGAACUGCCUUUGAUACUGAAGAUCUUGAGUUCGGGAGAGGUGAGUGGAACUGCGAGUGUAGAGGUGAAAUUCGUAGAUAUUCGCAAGAACACCAGUGGCGAAGGCGGCUCACUGGCCCGAUACUGACGCUGAGGCACGAAAGCGUGGGGAGCAAACAGG